Molecule: ribosomal RNA, 253 nt
Filed under: uncultured bacterium
Lineage: Bacteria
Description: partial 16S ribosomal RNA
Rfam family: Bacterial small subunit ribosomal RNA
Source: RNAcentral
UACAGAGGGGGCAAGCGUUGUUCGGAAUUACUGGGCGUAAAGGGCGCGUAGGCGGCCGCCUAAGUCAGACGUGAAAUCCCUCGGCUCAACCGGGGAACUGCGUCUGAGACUGGGAGGCUUGAAUCCGGGAGAGGAAUGCGGAAUUCCAGGUGUAGCGGUGAAAUGCGUAGAUAUCUGGAGGAACACCGGUGGCGAAGGCGGCAUUCUGGACCGGCAUUGACGCUGAGGCGCGAAAGCCAGGGGAGCAAACGGG